GCUCAGUAACACGUGGAUAACAUGCCCUAAAGCGGGGGAUAAUCUCGGGAAAUUGAGGAUAAUACCCCAUAGAUCAUAGGAUCUGGAAUGACUUAUGGUCGAAAGUUCUGGCGCUUUAGGAUUGGUCUGCGGCCUAUCAGGUUGUAGUGGGUGUAACGGACCCACUAGCCGACGACGGGUAUGGGCCUUGAGAGAGGGAGCCCAGAGAUGGAUUCUGAGACACGAAUCCAGGCCCUACGGGGCGCAGCAGUCGCGAAAACUUCACACUGGAGGCAACUCCGAUGAGGGAAUUCCUAGUGCUAGCACAUUAGUGUUAGCUUUUCUUAAGCGUAGAUAACUUAAGGAAUAAGGGCUGGGUAAGACGGGUGCCAGCCGCCGCGGUAAUACCCGCAGCCCAAGUGGUGGUCGAUUUUAUUGAGUCUAAAACGUUCGUAGCCGGUUUGGUAAAUCCUUGGGUAAAUCGAGAGGCUUAACCCUUCGAAUUCCGAGGAGACUGCCAAACUUGGGACCGGGAGAGGCGAGAGGUACUUCUGGGGUAGGGGUAAAAUCCUGUAAUCCUAGAAGGACCACCGGUGGCGAAGGCGUCUCGCUAGAACGGAUCCGACGGUGAGGGACGAAGCCCUGGGUCGCAAACGGGAUUAGAUACCCCGGUAGUCCAGGGUGUAAACGCUGCAGACUUGGUGUUGGGGGCCCUACGGGGGCGUUCAGUGCCGGAGAGAAGUUGUUAAGUCUGCUACUUGGGGAGUACGUCCGCAAGGAUGAAACUUAAAGGAAUUGGCGGGGGAGCACCGCAACGGGAGGAGCGUGCGGUUUAAUUGGAUUCAACACCGGAAAACUCACCAAGGGCGACUAUCACAUGAAAGCCAGGCUAACGACCUUGCUUGAUUCUUAGAGAGGUGGUGCAUGGCCGUCGUCAGUUCGUACCGUAAGGCGUUCUCUUAAGUGAGAUAACGAACGAGACCCUCAUCUAUAAUUGCUACUUCACCCUCCGGGGUGGAGGCACAUUAUCGAGACCGCUGACACAAGUCAGAGGAAGGAGUGGACGACGGUA
Molecule: ribosomal RNA, 1051 nt
Filed under: uncultured archaeon
Lineage: Archaea
Description: bacterial SSU rRNA
Rfam family: Archaeal small subunit ribosomal RNA
Source: RNAcentral